AACAGGAAAUAUUUCAGCCAAGUUAAAUUAAUGUAAAGAACUAAAGAAAAUCAAAGACACGAAAUAUAAACAAUGAUAAAUACUGAAAACUGAUACUUAGAUUUAAUUACUGAUAAUGAUAGUGAAGUUAAUUUUAAUGAUUAGUCUGAAAAUUUAAAACAAGUGAAUAAAUACUAGGAAGGACAAAAGAAUGAGGGUGCCAACUGAAAUAGCAAACAUCUCUUUCUAAAAUCAUCAUAGUCACUGCACUGCCAGGGUCUUCACUGGCCAUGUUACCCCAGCUGGGACCUUGGACUCACACAAUGUUGCUAUGUUUCUCUUUCCUUUUGUUCUCUCCAUCUCUUCUCCUCAGCCUCCAAUUCCUGGACCACCCCAAGAAUUUCAAAUUCUUGCCUUUCUUAAGCAAACUUACUAAGAUCCCCCUAUCCAAAUUCCAGGUUUAUCUUUAUAGAUCCCCAAAUCAAGGUCCUCAGCUAAAGGAAAGUACCUUCUGAGAACUUUUCUUUAACAGGAUUCACUCUUACAAGAGGAUGCUAAAGUUCCAGGUAACUGUUCUUUUGUGCAGAUUAAUUCCUGUUUCCAACAUUGACAGUCUCACUGUUCCCAUGAUAAUCUUCAUUUUCUCUUUGUAUGUCUAAAUUUUCCCCUUCAUUUGGAGAUAUAUUAUUUGGCACUUGAAGAUUACUUCAUGACUGAUGUUUAUCUUGUUUUCUUCAUCGCAUUUAAUGCCUUUUCUUCAGAAUUAUGUUUUGGCAUAUAUCUGCCAUAACUGGCUUCUUUGCAUUUGCC
RNAcentral lists this long non-coding RNA (789 nucleotides) under Marmota monax (woodchuck). Lineage: Eukaryota; Metazoa; Chordata; Mammalia; Rodentia; Sciuridae. The record is from RNAcentral.